ACUCCUACGGGAGGCAGCAGUCGAGAAUCUUCCACAAUGGACGAAAGUCUGAUGGAGCGACGCCGCGUGAGUGAUGAAGGCCCUACGGGUUGUAAAACUCUGUCAGGAGAGAAGAAUCGCCGGGGUGCCAAUACCACCCUGGUCUGACGUUAUCUCCAGAGGAAGCUCCGGCUAACUCCGUGCCAGCAGCCGCGGUAAU
Molecule: ribosomal RNA, 199 nt
Filed under: uncultured bacterium
Lineage: Bacteria
Description: partial 16S ribosomal RNA
Rfam family: Bacterial small subunit ribosomal RNA
Source: RNAcentral